GACGAACCGUGCGAACGUUAUUCGGAAUCACUGGGCUUAAAGGGCGCGUAGGCGGGCCGCCAAGUCAGGGGUGAAAGCCUCCGGCUCAACCGGAGAAGUGCCUUUGAUACUGGCGGCCUAGAGGGAGGUAGGGGCCUGCGGAACUUCCGGUGGAGCGGUGAAAUGCGUAGAUAUCGGAAGGAACGCCGGUGGCGAAAGCGGCGGGCUGGACCUCUUCUGACGCUGAGGCGCGAAAGCCAGGGGAGCAAACAGG
RNAcentral lists this ribosomal RNA (253 nucleotides) under uncultured bacterium. Its description in RNAcentral is "partial 16S ribosomal RNA". It matches the Rfam family "Bacterial small subunit ribosomal RNA", at positions 524 to 776 of the family's 1533-position model. The record is from RNAcentral.